RNAcentral lists this ribosomal RNA (254 nucleotides) under uncultured bacterium. RNAcentral describes it as "partial 16S ribosomal RNA". It matches the Rfam family "Bacterial small subunit ribosomal RNA", at positions 524 to 776 of the family's 1533-position model. The record is from RNAcentral.
UACAGAGGGUGCAAGCGUUGUUCGGAAUUAUUGGGCGUAAAGGGCGCGUAGGCGGUGCCACAAGUCACCUGUGAAAUCUCCGGGCUUAACUCGGAGCCUGCAGGCGAAACUGUGGUGCUGGAGUGUGGGAGAGGUGCGUGGAAUUCCCGGUGUGGCGGUGAAAUGCGUAGAUAUCGGGAGGAACACCUGUGGCGAAAGCGGCGCACUGGACCAUAACUGACGCUGGAUGCGCGAAAGCUAGGGGAGCAAACAGG